AAUUUACCUAACCCCAAACAUACCACAAACUAGAAACUAAACCAUUUUUCCCCCUAAGUAUCGGAGACAGAAACGGGUCACCAAUGAGCGAUAGAGAAAGUACCGCAAGGGAAAGCUGAAAAAGAAAUGAAAUAAACCAAGUUAAGCCUGAAAAAGCAAAGACUAACCCUUGUACCUUUUGCAUCAUGAUUUAGCCAGCACCCCCAAGCAUAAAGAACUUUAGUUUGACACCCCGAAACUAGGUGAGCUACUUCGAGUCAGUCUAGUAAUAGGACUAACCCGUCUCUGUGGCAAAAGAGUGGGAAGAACUUUGAGUAGAGGUGAAAGACCUUUCGAACCUAGUAAUAGCUGGUUGCCUGCCAAUUGAAUAGAAGUUCAGCCUCUUGACUUCUUCAUUGACUCAAUCCCUACAACCAUGACAAGAAAUUAAGAGAGUUAAUUAAAGGGGGGACAGCCCCUUUGAAAUAAGACACAACUUUUACAGGUGGCUAAAGAUCAUACAAACUUAAGGCACAGUGUUUUGGUGGGCCUAAAAGCAGCCACCCACCCAGAGGGCGUUAAAGCUCAAACACCUCCCCCGCCCCAUAUUCUGAUGAUUUUAUCUUAGACCCCUAAAUUUACCGGGCCAGCCUAUGCAACCAUAGGCGUGACCAUGCUAAUAUGAGUAAUUGGGGGCCUGACCCCCUCCCUGCACACGUGUAAAUCGGAACGGACCCCCCACCGAACUUUAACGGCCCCAAACAAAGCGGGAACUGAAUAUUAAACCUAACAACCAGAAAACCAUUCACCCAUUACCGUUAACCCUACACAGGCAUGCUUUUAAGGAAAGACUAAAAAAAGAAGAAGGAACUCGGCAAACACCCAAGCCUCGCCUGUUUACCAAAAACACCGCCUCUUGUAACCAAUAAAUAAGAGGUCCCACCUGCCCACUGACUAUAUGUUUAACGGCCGCGGUAUUUUAACCGUGCAAAGGUAGCGCAAUCACUUGUCCUUUAAAUGAAGACCUGUAUGAACGGCACAACGAGGGCUUAACUGUCUCCUUUUUUAAGUCAAUGAAAUUGAUUUUCCCGUGCAAAAGCGGGAAUAAAACCAUAAGACGAGAAGACCCUGUGGAGCUUAAGACACUAAGCAGCCCAUGUUACAAUUACCCCUUUACAAAGGAUCAAACUAAAUGUUUAGCCUGCCUUAGUAUCUUCGGUUGGGGCGACCCCGAGGAACAAAAAAACCCCCGGGUGGACUGGGACAGCACACCCUAAAACCAAGAGCCACCCCUCUAAUCAACAGAACUUCUGACCAAUUAGAUCCGGCAAAGCCGAUUGACGAACCAAGUUACCCCAGGGAUAACAGCGCAAUCCCCUUUCAGAGCCCAUAUCGACAAGGGGGCUUACGACCUCGAUGUUGGAUCAGGACAUCCUAAUGGUGUAGCCGCUAUUAAGGGUUCGUUUGUUCAACGAUUAAAGUCCUACGUGAUCUGAGUUCAGACCGGAGCAAUCCAGGUCAGUUUCUAUCUAUGAAAUGAUUUUUUCCAGUACGAAAGGACCGAAAAAACGAGGCCCCUGCUCAAAACACGCCCCCCCCUUAUUAAUGAAGCCAAAUAAAAUAAGCAAAAGGGCAUACCUUUCAGCCUGAGACUAAGGCAC
This 1640-nucleotide ribosomal RNA is filed under the name Uranoscopus japonicus. RNAcentral's name for it is "16S ribosomal RNA". It matches the Rfam family "Bacterial large subunit ribosomal RNA". Lineage: Eukaryota; Metazoa; Chordata; Actinopteri; Uranoscopiformes; Uranoscopidae. The record is from RNAcentral.